GAUGAACGCUAGCGGCAGGCUUAACACAUGCAAGUCGAGGGGUAACAGGGUUGCUUGCAACCGCUGACGACCGGCGCACGGGUGCGUAACGCGUAUAGAACCUACCUUAUAUUGGGAGAUAGCCCAGAGAAAUUUGGAUUAAUAUCCCAUAGUAUUAUUGAUUGGCAUCGAUUAAUAAUUAAAGAUUUAUUGAUAUAAGAUGGCUAUGCGUUCUAUUAGCUAGUUGGUAUGGUAACGGCAUACCAAGGCUACGAUAGAUAGGGGUCCUGAGAGGGAGAUCCCCCACACUGGUACUGAGACACGGACCAGACUCCUACGGGAGGCAGCAGUGAGGAAUAUUGGACAAUGGAGGCAACUCUGAUCCAGCCAUGCCGCGUGUAGGAAGACUGCCCUAUGGGUUGUAAACUACUUUUAUAGAGGAAGAACUCCUGGUAUGUAUACCAGUCUGACGGUACUCUACGAAUAAGGAUCGGCUAACUCCG
This 482-nucleotide ribosomal RNA is filed under the name uncultured Aquimarina sp. RNAcentral's name for it is "bacterial SSU rRNA". It matches the Rfam family "Bacterial small subunit ribosomal RNA", at positions 28 to 505 of the family's 1533-position model. Lineage: Bacteria; Pseudomonadati; Bacteroidota; Flavobacteriia; Flavobacteriales; Flavobacteriaceae. The record is from RNAcentral.